Molecule: ribosomal RNA, 498 nt
Filed under: uncultured bacterium
Lineage: Bacteria
Description: partial 16S ribosomal RNA
Rfam family: Bacterial small subunit ribosomal RNA
Source: RNAcentral
AUUGAACGCUGGCGGCAUGCCUUACACAUGCAAGUCGAACGGUAACAGGUCUUCGGAUGCUGACGAGUGGCGAACGGGUGAGUAAUACAUCGGAACGUGCCUAGUAGUGGGGGAUAACUACUCGAAAGAGUGGCUAAUACCGCAUGAGAUCUACGGAUGAAAGCAGGGGAUCGCAAGACCUUGUGCUACUCAAGCGGCCGAUGGCAGAUUAGGUAGUUGGUGGGAUAAAAGCUUACCAAUCCGACGAUCUGUAGCUGGUCUGAGAGGACGAUCAGCCACACUGGGACUGAGACACGGCCCAGACUCCUACGGGAGGCAGCAGUGGGGAAUUUUGGACAAUGGGCGCAAGCCUGAUCCAGCAAUGCCGCGUGCAGGAUGAAGGCCUUCGGGUUGUAAACUGCUUUUGUACGGAACGAAAAGCCCUGGGUUAAUACCCUGGGGUCAUGACGGUACCGUAAGAAUAAGCACCGGCUAACUACGUGCCAGCAGCCGCCGUAA